Molecule: unclassified non-coding RNA, 250 nt
Filed under: plant metagenome
Description: partial contains small subunit ribosomal RNA, internal transcribed spacer 1, and 5.8S ribosomal RNA
Source: RNAcentral
GUAGGUGAACCUGCGGAAGGAUCAUUAACACGUUAUCCACGUUAUUCAUCAACCACGCGAACUUAUCAGUUUUUGGGGUUUUUUAAGAGGGAGGAUGACUUCUUUUUCUCCUAGAGAAAAAAGUGAACUUCCUUCUUUCCCACUAACUGUUGUGUUUUGUCAUUUUUUGACAAACCUUAAUCACCCCUUUUUUAUAAUUCUUUUUCUUUUGCAAAAAAGAAAAACCAAUUAUAAAAUGUGAUUUUUUCUU